UCACUCUAGCGAGAAUGCCGAGGUCAACUGGGAGGAAGGUGGGGAUGACGUCAAAUCAUCAUGCCCCUUAUGUUCUGGGCUACACACGUGCUACAAUGGUCGGUACAAUGAGAGGCAAUACUGUGAAGUGGAGCAAAUCACCAAAACCGAUCCCAAUUCGGAAUGUAAGCUGCAACUCCCCUACAUGAAAUUGGAAUUGCUAGUAAUCCCAGAUCAGAAUGCUGCGGUGAAUGCCUUCCCGGGUCUUGUACACACCGCCCGUCACACCAUGGAAAUUGGGGGUGCCCAAAGUCCGUUAAUUAAUCUAUCGCCUAACGCAAAACCAAUGACUGGGGUGAAGUCGUAACUGGUAACCGUCAAGGAACCCUAA
Molecule: ribosomal RNA, 370 nt
Filed under: uncultured bacterium
Lineage: Bacteria
Description: bacterial SSU rRNA
Rfam family: Bacterial small subunit ribosomal RNA
Source: RNAcentral